RNAcentral lists this ribosomal RNA (251 nucleotides) under uncultured prokaryote. Its description in RNAcentral is "partial 16S rRNA". It matches the Rfam family "Bacterial small subunit ribosomal RNA", at positions 525 to 775 of the family's 1533-position model. The record is from RNAcentral.
ACGUAGGAGGCGAGCGUUAUCCGGAUUUACUGGGCGUAAAGCGUGUGUAGGCGGUUUGAUAAGUUGGAUGUGAAAGCUCCUUUCUUCCCUGGGGGAGGUCGUGCAAAACUAUCAGACUUGAGAGUGGUAGAGGGAGGUGGAAUUCCGCAUGUAGUGGUGAAAUGCGCAGAUAUGAGGAGGAACACCAGUGGCGAAGGCGGCCUCCUGGCCCAUUACUGACGCUCAGACACGAAAGCUAAGGUAGCAAACGG